CCUCGGAUCAGGCAGGGAUACCCGCUGAACUUAAGCAUAUCAAUAAGCGGAGGAAAAGAAACCANCAGGGAUUGCCUCAGUAACGGCGAGUGAAGCGGCAACAGCUCAAAUUUGAAAUCUGGCUCUUUCAGGGUCCGAGUUGUAAUUUGUAGAGGAUGCUUCGGCGUGGGCUCCGGUCUAAGUUCCUUGGAACAGGACGUCAUAGAGGGUGAGAAUCCCGUAUGUGAUCGGUUGCCUUUGCCAUGUGAAGCUCCUUCGACGAGUCGAGUUGUUUGGGAAUGCAGCUCUAAAUGGGAGGUAAAUUUUUUCUAAAGCUAAAUACUGGCCAGAGACCGAUAGCGCACAAGUAGAGUGAUCGAAAGAUGAAAAGCACUUUGGAAAGAGAGUCAAAAAGUACGUGAAAUUGUUGAAAGGGAAGCGCUUGCAACCAGACCUGCCUGCAGUUGCUCAUCCGGGCUUUUGCCCGGUGCACUCUUCUGCUGUCAGGCCAGCAUCGGUUCGGGCGGUCGGAUAAAGGCUUCGGGAAUGUAGCUCCUCUCGAGGAGUGUUAUAGCCCGUUGCGAAAUGCGGUCAGCCUGAACUGAGGUCCGCGCUUCGGCUAGGAUGCUGGCGUAAUGGUUGUAAGCGGCC
RNAcentral lists this ribosomal RNA (630 nucleotides) under uncultured fungus. Its description in RNAcentral is "eukaryotic LSU rRNA". It matches the Rfam family "Eukaryotic large subunit ribosomal RNA", at positions 1 to 649 of the family's 3401-position model. The record is from RNAcentral. Lineage: Eukaryota; Fungi.